UAUUGGGCGUAAAGAGCUCGUAGGCGGUCUGUCGCGUCUGGUGUGAAAACUCGAGGCUCAACCUCGAGCUUGCAUCGGGUACGGGCAGACUAGAGUGCGGUAGGGGAGACUGGAAUUCCUGGUGUAGCGGUGGAAUGCGCAGAUAUCAGGAGGAACACCGAUGGCGAAGGCAGGUCUCUGGGCCGCAACUGACGCUGAGGAGCGAAAGCAUGGGGAGCGAACAGGAUUAGAUACCCUGGUAGUCCAUGCCGUAAACGUUGGGCACUAGGUGUGGGGCUCAUUCCACGAGUUCCGUGCCGCAGCAAACGCAUUAAGUGCCCCGCCUGGGGAGUACGGCCGCAAGGCUAAAACUCAAAGGAAUUGACGGGGGCCCGCACAAGCGGCGGAGCAUGCGGAUUAAUUCGAUGCAACGCGAAGAACCUUACCAAGGCUUGACAUGCACGGGAAGCCGCCAGAGAUGGUGGUCUCUUUGGACACUCGUGCACAGGUGGUGCAUGGUUGUCGUCAGCUCGUGUCGUGAGAUGUUGGGUUAAGUCCCGCAACGAGCGCAACCCUCGUCCCAUGUUGCCAGCGGGUUAUGCCGGGGACUCAUGGGAGACUGCCGGGGUCAACUCGGAGGAAGGUGGGGAUGACGUCAAAUCAUCAUGCCCCUUAUGUCUUGGGCUUCACGCAUGCUACAAUGGCCGGUACAAAGGGCUGCGAUGCCGUAAGGCGGAGCGAAUCCCAAAAAGCCGGUCUCAGUUCGGAUUGGGGUCUGCAACUCGACCCCAUGAAGUCGGAGUCGCUAGUAAUCGCAGAUCAGCAACGCUGCGGUGAAUACGUUCCCGGGCCUUGUACACACCGCCCGUCAAGUCACGAAAGUCGGUAACACCCGAAGCUCAUGGCCCAACCGGUUCGCCGGGGGGAGUGU
This 910-nucleotide ribosomal RNA is filed under the name Cellulosimicrobium marinum. RNAcentral's name for it is "bacterial SSU rRNA". It matches the Rfam family "Bacterial small subunit ribosomal RNA", at positions 552 to 1455 of the family's 1533-position model. The record is from RNAcentral. Lineage: Bacteria; Bacillati; Actinomycetota; Actinomycetes; Micrococcales; Promicromonosporaceae.